This 355-nucleotide ribosomal RNA is filed under the name uncultured fungus. RNAcentral's name for it is "eukaryotic LSU rRNA". The stretch from base 1 to 72 matches the Rfam family "5.8S ribosomal RNA", at positions 84 to 154 of the family's 154-position model. Lineage: Eukaryota; Fungi. The record is from RNAcentral.
GUGAGUCAUCGAGUCUUUGAACGCACCUUGCGCCCUUUGGCUAUUCCGAAGGGCAUGCCUGUUUGAGUAUCAUGAACACCUCAACUCUCAUGGUCUGCCAUGAUGAGCUUGGACUUUGGGGGUCUUUGCCGGCGUAACCGUCGGCUCCUCUCAAAUGAAUCAGCUUGCCAGUGUUUGGUGGCGUCACAGGUGUGAUAACUAUCUACGCUUGUGAUCUUCCAUCAGGUUACCUUCAGUAAUGGGGUUCGCUGGAGCUCACAGAUGUGUCUCUCCUCAGGGAGGACAGCUUUUUAAUGUUUGAUCUCAAAUCAGGUUAGGACUACCCGCUGAACUUAAGCAUAUCAAUAAGCGGAGG